Molecule: ribosomal RNA, 252 nt
Filed under: uncultured bacterium
Lineage: Bacteria
Description: partial 16S ribosomal RNA
Rfam family: Bacterial small subunit ribosomal RNA
Source: RNAcentral
GAUCCUGGCUCAGGAUGAACGCUAGCUACAGGCUUAACACAUGCAAGUCGAGGGGCAGCAUGACCUAGCAAUAGGUUGAUGGCGACCGGCGCACGGGUGAGUAACACGUAUCCAACCUACCGGUUAUUCUGGGAUAGCCUUUCGAAAGAAAGAUUAAUACCGGAUAGCAUAACGAGAAGGCAUCUUCUUGUUAUUAAAGAAUUUCGAUAACCGAUGGGGAUGCGUUCCAUUAGUUUGUUGGCGGGGUAACGG